RNA transcript from Pan troglodytes (chimpanzee), 4951 nucleotides. It is a transcript of the gene named DDB1 and CUL4 associated factor 8, with no coding region annotated. Lineage: Eukaryota; Metazoa; Chordata; Mammalia; Primates; Hominidae. The transcript is spliced from 15 exons. The record is from RefSeq and is a predicted model, not a curated record.
AGUCUUCUCGAGCACAUCGUCGCAAACGGGGCCGGAAAGCGUGGCAGCGCAGGCGCAAGCGCAGAGAGCGGAGGCGGUGGUGGUGGCGGCCGCUGGCCAGUGUAAGAUGGCGGCGGCGUUGGUGGUGGCAGUGGACGGGGCGGCUGGGCCUGGAACAGUCGGAGCAGCCGCUAGCAGAAGGAUGACCCAAGACGGGAAGCGGGCUGCUGAGCCUCGCCGAUUCCCGUGCUUGUAACUGCCCCAGCCGGACACCCCCCCUCCCUUGACCUACCCGGUCUGUGUCUCGUUCCGGCUCGGCCUGCGCCCCCCCUCGCUUCCCAGCCGGUUUCCCCUAAGGAUGGGCCUGACCCAUAUCCCAAGCUCUUAGCGAUCAGGUCUUUUCCUUCCGCCGACCCGAAGUCAUCGCUGGGAGUACUGGUUGCCCUUUCCUCAGUCCUUCAGUGAAUCUACAGACCUAUUUUCUCAGGAGCUCAGCCUGGCCUUACUUCAGUGAUAAAAGGAGGAAAGGCUGGCUACAGCAAACAUCAUUCAAGAUGUCCAGCAAAGGGAGCAGCACAGAUGGCAGAACAGACUUAGCUAAUGGAAGCCUGUCUAGCAGUCCAGAGGAGAUGUCUGGAGCUGAAGAGGGGAGGGAGACAUCCUCAGGCAUUGAAGUGGAGGCCUCAGACCUGAGUUUGAGCUUGACUGGGGAUGAUGGUGGCCCCAACCGCACCAGCACAGAAAGUCGAGGCACAGACACAGAGAGCUCAGGUGAAGAUAAGGACUCUGACAGCAUGGAGGACACUGGUCAUUACUCCAUUAAUGAUGAAAAUCGAGUCCAUGACCGCUCAGAGGAAGAGGAAGAGGAGGAAGAAGAGGAGGAAGAAGAGCAGCCUCGGCGCCGUGUACAGCGCAAGCGGGCUAACCGUGACCAGGACUCAUCAGAUGAUGAGCGGGCGCUAGAGGACUGGGUGUCCUCAGAAACAUCAGCUCUACCCCGACCUCGCUGGCAAGCCCUCCCUGCCCUUCGGGAGCGGGAGCUGGGUUCAAGUGCCCGCUUUGUCUAUGAGGCCUGUGGGGCAAGAGUCUUUGUGCAGCGUUUCCGCCUGCAGCAUGGGCUUGAGGGCCAUACUGGUUGUGUCAAUACCCUGCACUUUAACCAGCGCGGCACCUGGCUGGCCAGUGGCAGCGACGACCUGAAGGUGGUGGUGUGGGAUUGGGUACGGCGGCAGCCAGUACUGGACUUUGAGAGUGGCCACAAAAGUAAUGUGUUCCAGGCCAAGUUUCUUCCUAACAGUGGUGAUUCUACUCUGGCCAUGUGUGCCCGUGACGGGCAGGUUCGGGUAGCAGAACUGUCUGCCACACAGUGUUGCAAGAAUACAAAACGUGUGGCCCAGCACAAGGGAGCGUCCCACAAGUUGGCACUGGAACCAGACUCUCCCUGUACGUUCUUAUCUGCAGGUGAAGAUGCAGUUGUUUUCACCAUUGACCUGAGACAAGACCGCCCAGCGUCGAAACUGGUGGUGACAAAAGAGAAAGAGAAGAAAGUGGGGCUGUAUACGAUCUAUGUGAAUCCUGCCAAUACCCACCAGUUUGCAGUGGGUGGACGAGAUCAGUUUGUAAGGAUUUAUGACCAGAGGAAAAUUGAUGAGAAUGAGAACAAUGGAGUACUCAAGAAGUUCUGUCCUCAUCACCUGGUGAACAGUGAGUCCAAAGCAAACAUCACCUGUCUUGUGUACAGCCACGACGGCACAGAGCUCCUGGCCAGUUACAAUGAUGAAGACAUUUACCUCUUCAACUCCUCUCACAGUGAUGGGGCCCAGUAUGUUAAGAGAUACAAGGGCCACAGAAAUAAUGCCACAGUAAAAGGCGUCAAUUUCUAUGGCCCCAAGAGUGAGUUUGUGGUGAGCGGUAGUGACUGUGGGCACAUCUUCCUCUGGGAGAAAUCAUCCUGCCAGAUUAUUCAGUUCAUGGAGGGGGACAAGGGAGGCGUGAGAGAUGCAGGGCUGAAUGCCCUCUCCCAGGCCAGCAUUUGUCCAUUCUCCGAAAGCAUUCUGCAGGCCAGUUUGCUUUUAGCUCAGCCAAUGCCAGGGUUUGAUGAUUAACCCAUUUGCCCAGGUGAGGAAGGCAUCUACUUGGGAUGGGUGGGCCCCAGGCCUAAGUUUUAGUGGUCCUAAGAGUAAAUGAGUAGAAUAAGAGAUAUAGAGGCUACCCCUGAAGCAAAUUUCCUUAGAUGUUCUUGUCUCUGUGUAAGCUGAAUGAUCGAUGUGGUCUUUUACUUGGCUCCCUCUGCUCUGUUUUUUGGUCCUAAUUUUCCAGCAGUGGGGGUUACCAGGCACUACUUUCAAUGUAGUAGACUCAGCAGUUCUAUAUCAUGCAAAUUGUAAAUGUAGAGUAGAAUGUAAUUGUAACGUAGAAUGUUAGAACCAAAGAUCUUAGAAGUUAUUUUCUACCUUGCCCAGAUCUCCUGACUGAUUUGAGGAUCUUUUCUUUGUUCCCAUUCAGCUUCACAGGGACAAGGGUUGGGGGUGGUAUCAGAGGACAGCCCCUUAGUCUCCCAAGAGCACUUUGAUGCUUGAUCCCAUUCUCUACAUUCCCCCAGCCCAGUCAUCUAAGGCCAGAGCUCUUUUCUCUGCUCAGGCAUUAUUGACAGGAUAAGUCCUGGCAUUCAGACAGGUCUGGUGAAGUGACCAGGUACUCUGGCCCAGAAGUUCUCUGUCGGCUCCCCCCGCAGGCUCCAAUUCAGGUAAACUGUCUUGAGCCCCACCCUCACCUGCCUGUGCUGGCAACCAGUGGCCUAGACCAUGAUGUGAAGAUCUGGGCACCCACAGCUGAAGCUUCCACUGAGCUGACAGGGUUAAAAGAUGUGAUUAAGAAGAACAAGCGGGAGCGGGAUGAAGAUAGCUUGCACCAAACUGACCUGUUUGAUAGUCACAUGCUGUGGUUCCUUAUGCAUCACCUGAGACAGAGACGCCAUCACCGGCGCUGGCGAGAACCUGGGGUUGGGGCGACAGACGCGGACUCUGAUGAGUCUCCCAGCUCCUCAGACACAUCGGACGAGGAGGAGGGCCCUGACCGGGUGCAGUGCAUGCCAUCUUGAGGCCUCAUACCUAGGUGGGGCAGGCUGGGGCUGCCAACCUGAUCCUGCCUGGGCAACCCUUUCCUGUCCCAGGCCCUACAUUCAGCAGAAACGCACUUUGGACUUUUUGCUUUAGAUAAAAGAAAGACAUCCCAGGAGAAGGACAAACCAGAGGAGUGAACCAACAAAGAGUACCUAGGAAUGGGAGUUGAGCCCUGGAAUGGGGCUCCAUGGAGAGGUGCAUAGGACUCAGCAGAAAUGGCCUCUCCCCAAAGCCUCUUUUUGAGAGGAGAGGGAAGCCUAUUUUGUUAACUGGUUUGGGAUAGGGAAUGGGGUUUCUUUUUCUUUAAUCUCCCUUGUUUCUUGGGCGGGGGGAGGGGUGGGGGGAACAACUGGCUAUUCAGUACCAAGGGGCCAGAGUGGAGGGUAGGAGUGCCACUCUCUCUUUGGUUUAGGUUUUUGACCUUUUCUUCCUUUGUUUUUUAAAAGUUUAUGACAGUUGGUUUUUCCCCCCCUCAGCAACCCCAUCCCAGAAUCCUAUUUUCCUGGGAAGUCCUUAAAGCCCCUAACCAUCCCACACUCUUCACUUUCCUUUCCACCUUAUUCAUUCUCUGUACUUAUCACAGUGUUUUGCACUUGAUUACAUAUCCUUCACUCUCUUCUCUUCAUCCCAUCACCCCCUAAAUAGGUCAGGUGAGGGAGGUUGGGAAGAGGUGGGAGGAGGGGCAGAAGUGAAGGAAGAAUAGGAAGGAUAUUACCUCUUCUGUUAUUUUUUUAAGAAACAUUGUUUGGUGGCAGCAAUCUCCCUGUCCCUAUCACUGUUAGAGGCCUAAUUUUAUAUCUAUAAAUAUAUUAAAAAGCAAGUCAAACUUGGAUGUAUCAAGGUAAAAUUAUUGUCAAAGUUUAAAUACCUAUAUAUUCUCUAUGAAUGCAAUAAAGGGACUUAAGAGUGAACAAGAGUAAUGGUGUGGAAGUGACACCUGGGGUCAGUUUACCUCUAUGUAUGGUCACUAGAGAUUGGGACUUACCCUUUAGGUUUUAGGAGGCUCGAGAAUGGAAGGAUCCUCAUUUCUGCCCUUCCUGGUUCCCUGCUUUGGCGUAGGGGUUGGGAAAAACAGGAAAUUCCUCUCAGCUCUGCCUCAGAUCUCCUACCUCUCCUUAAGUCUUGUAGGGGGUUCCAAGGAUGGCUCUUCUAACCAGAGGCUGGCCUGUCUUUAAAACUUAACUACUUUAGGGUGGUGCCACCACUGCAGACUAUUGUGGUAGUUUGUGACAGAAGACAUGUACACACACACCACACACAUACAUACACACUCUCUCACUCUGUCUCUCUUACCUUUAGCUGCUUGAUCUUUAAGCCAUCCAACUUCAUGCCAGUUCCCUUCUUUAUAGAAGAGUGAAGGGAAAGACUUCCUGGGUUUGACUUAAACCUUGUCCACCUCUUGAUAUUUUAGGAUUGAGGAAUAAGUCAUUAAUCUAAGGACUGAUUACAGUGGCUGGAGCUUGGGCACUUGUCUUAUCACUGGUCACUGAGUCUGAAAGUCCCAGCUGAAUUCUUGCCCUUAAGUGCUUUUGCUGCUAUUUUUUUGCCCCCAGUUCCACAAGAUCCAACCAAGAAUUCUGUAUCCUGGGACAGUCAGAUUCUACUAAAUCAGGCCAGGAAGGAGGGGAAAAGAGUGAGAGAAUGGUAUCCCCAGAUACUUCUUCCUCCUGCCCCUUUUCCCAGCAGCUCUGAGACCAGAUGUUGGCUGCUGUACUUACUCCCUGAGGUAGGGAAUGUGUGGUGAUUGAGUGGUCUGUGUUCCUAUUGCUGGUGGGGUGAUAGGGUGGGCUAAAAACCAUGCACUCUGGAAUUUAUUGUAUUUUCUCCCAGUAAAGCUUUUCUUCUCCCGA